GAUGAACGCUGGCGGCGUGCCUAAUACAUGCAAGUCGAGCGAACAGACGAGGAGCUUGCUCCUCUGACGUUAGCGGCGGACGGGUGAGUAACACGUGGAUAACCUACCUAUAAGACUGGGAUAACUUCGGGAAACCGGAGCUAAUACCGGAUAAUAUAUUGAACCGCAUGGUUCAAUAGUGAAAGACGGUUUUGCUGUCACUUAUAGAUGGAUCCGCGCCGCAUUAGCUAGUUGGUAAGGUAACGGCUUACCAAGGCAACGAUGCGUAGCCGACCUGAGAGGGUGAACGGCCACACUUGAACUGAGACACGGUCCAGACUCCUAAGGGAGGCAACAGUAGGGAAUCUUCCGCAAUGGGCGAAAGCCUGACGGAGCAACGCCGCGUGAGUGAUGAAGGUCUUCGGAUCGUAAAACUCUGUUAUUAGGGAAGAACAAAUGUGUAAGUAACUAUGCACGUCUUGACGGUACCUAAUCAGAAAGCCACGGCUAACUACGUG
Molecule: ribosomal RNA, 497 nt
Filed under: uncultured bacterium
Lineage: Bacteria
Description: partial 16S ribosomal RNA
Rfam family: Bacterial small subunit ribosomal RNA
Source: RNAcentral